RNAcentral lists this unclassified non-coding RNA (335 nucleotides) under uncultured Glomeraceae. RNAcentral describes it as "sequence contains 18S rRNA gene". The record is from RNAcentral. Lineage: Eukaryota; Fungi; Glomeromycota; Glomeromycetes; Glomerales; Glomeraceae.
CCCAACUAUCCCUAUUAAUCAUUACGUCGAUCCUAGAAACCAACAAAAUAGGUUCGAACGUCCUAUUUCAUUAUUCCAUGCUAAUGUAUUCAAGCGUUAGCCUGCUUUAAACACUCUAAUUUUUUCAAGGUAACAGUCCUGAUUCCCCGUAACACCAAAUUAAUGACAUCACGGUUCUUCAAGAAGGGAGGAAUCGAUGACGCCAGUACGUACCGAAGGCACGACCGACGCAUCGAUCCCGAAAUUCAACUACGAGCUUUUUAACUGCAACAACUUUAAUAUACGCUAUUGGAGCUGGAAUUACCGCGGCUGCUGGCACCAGACUUGCCCUCCAA